GUACACUCCUACGGGAGGCAGCAGUGGGGAAUUUUGGACAAUGGGCGAAAGCCUGAUCCAGCAAUGCCGCGUGAGUGAAGAAGGCCUUCGGGUUGUAAAGCUCUUUUGUCAGGGAAGAAACGGUGAGAGCUAAUAUCUCUUGCUAAUGACGGUACCUGAAGAAUAAGCACCGGCUAACUACGUGCCAGCAGCCGCGGUAAUACGUAGGGUGCAAGCGUUAAUCGGAAUUACUGGGCGUAAAGCGUGCGCAGGCGGUUUUGUAAGUCUGAUGUGAAAUCCCCGGGCUCAACCUGGGAAUUGCAUUGGAGACUGCAAGGCUAGAAUCUGGCAGAGGGGGGUAGAAUUCCACGUGUAGCAGUGAAAUGCGUAGAUAUGUGGAGGAACACCGAUGGCGAAGGCAGCCCCCUGGGUCAAGAUUGACGCUCAUGCACGAAAGCGUGGGGAGCAAACAGGAUUAGAAACCCGUGUAGUCCCAUGA
This 478-nucleotide ribosomal RNA is filed under the name uncultured organism. RNAcentral's name for it is "partial 16S ribosomal RNA". It matches the Rfam family "Bacterial small subunit ribosomal RNA", at positions 331 to 800 of the family's 1533-position model. The record is from RNAcentral.